UAUUCCAAUUAUCCCACUGGGGCUUGCCCUAAACUCAUUAUGGCCUCUUUUCCCAUUACUGAUACUGUAAGUACUAUAGUAUACGAUACCACAGCAACUAUAAAAUACUAUACAGUGUUUUCUAUUUUAGUAUAGUUUUACUUUUCACUUCCUUUAUUACAUACAAGGUUGAGAAUACUUGCAUAUGGGUACAAUAAAUAUUGCAAUAUUAAUUAUAAUAUCUGGAUCUUCCGGCCCAAGCAGCCAGGCUAUUGCAUCACAACUUGGUCCUCCUGCAGAGUGCUUUCCUUUUCUGAGUUCUAAUCAAAGAUGACACCUGGGGCAAUUUUCUUUCAUGGUAGAAUAUGCUGUAUGCAUAAAGGAAGAGUCUAGCAGGCAUUAUGUGUCCUUUGCAGUGGGAGAUAAAAGAUGUGAUAAGAUUUGUCCUUCACUGUAGAUAUUAGGAUAUUCUAGAAUGCUUGUGACCAUAGGUCCCUAGAAAUAGUACUGACAUAACAAGCCAAUGAAAUUUCAUAAGGUUUUAUCCCACUCUCUGAAGGGUAUGUAUCUUACCAAUGCCUCCAAAAUGGUUACCUCUUGUUCAUUUCAUUUGAGUAAUCAAUAUAGUGAGUCAUCGUGUUGUUCUGUGAGAUGUCCAGAGAGUCCAAGCUUCUUCAGCAUAAUAUAUUGUGAAGGAAAGUGAGAGAAUAUACUGUGAAGGAGAGUGAGAAGCCUUGGGGGGGAGAAGUUGUGAAUGUUUAUUGUUGUCCAUCUCACAUGAAUGCAAAAUAUUUCUUAUUCUUUUUUCAUAUGGGGAAAGAAAUAUUAUUCACUAAGUUAAAGUCAGCAUAUCACAACAUCUGAGGCUGGGUUUGCUCGAUCAAAGAUUGUACAUCUGGCCUGGGGGCUACAACCUGGGCCACUACUUGACUGAAUUUGUGACACCAAUUGAGUCUACUAUGUUCUCCAGGAUCCAUCUAGGUUUUAACCAAAGCUGGAUUAAUAAAUUAAAUGGCAAUAGGAUGAGUGUUUCCUCACCUGUACCCUUUAUGGGUGGCAUAAUUUCUGCCCUUCCCCCUAGGAUAACUUACUGUCUUUAUUUUUCUUUCUUGACUUAAAGGGAAAAGAUGGGAGGCAAGAGUCAUUCACUUGGACUUUGCUGCUACAAUAACUUUUAUUCCACAGAUCAAUGACUUUAUCUGGACCUUAGCCCAGGAGCCCCAAUGCACUCUACCUACAGACUCUAAUAAAGAUAUGUCGCAAGUUCUCUCUCUUUCUCUGCCUGCACACUGCAUUGACCUCCCUAUGUGGCCCCUCAAGAUAUGCACAUACUUCCUCCAGGACCUUCCUUCAGUAAUAAACUUCUCUAUUUAGAUUCCUCUUGUGGUCUGUUUCUGAACUGCAGUUCACAAUCUAGCACUCUGUGUUCCACUUAAUAAUUGUUAAUUUGAUAAAUGCGUAACACUGGCCAAUGUUAUUUUUUUCCAUUCUCUGACUAUAUAAUGGAAAUAGACUUACUUGGUAGUUGGCCAACUACAUACCAUCAAGUGACCUUGGCCUAUGACACGGGGAGCAGAACAAUCAGCCAUCUGAGAAUUACUCAAAUUCUAGACCCACAAUUUCACAUAAUAACAUGAUUGUUGUUAUAAAGCCAUUGAUUUUGAAGGUAGUUUUUAAUAUAGCAAUAGAUAGGUUGUGUACCAUAUCUGUGUCAGCCAUGGAACUCACUGAUAUUCUUUGCAUUAUAGAUAGCCGCUAAGUAUUUGCUUAUUAUUUAUUUCAGCUAGAAUUUAUUAAGGAUAGACUAUGUGCCAGGGACAAUAUUUUGCACAUCUUGUCUCAUUCAACCCUGACAACAUAAGCUACAAAACAGUGCCAAUCAAUUACUAAUUGUCUCUGAGCAAUAAAUACACCUUCUACCCUCUGUUCUGGAUGCUAGGUAUCAGCCACAAUUUCAGACUCAUCUUCCAAGUAAAUUCUAGUUAUAUUCUGCCAUUAAGAGGUACCAGAGAAAGACUGCAAGGUGGGAGAAGGAAAGGAUGUCUUUGUUUUUCUACUCGUGUCAGCUUCAGCUUAGCAAUGGCACUUGUUUCCAGUCUCAAGCAUUUGAAUUUCAGCACUUUCAGAAUCAGUCUUAACACACUCUCUCAGAAGUCCUAGAGGAAGCAGUCAUCCUGAGCCAUCUCAGCGUUCUGAGUACCAGUCCUGUGGGACUCUCCUUUACAUUUCUGAGGUACAUUUUCCAAAUUUGCUUCAGGCCACGCAAUAACAAAAGAAAUGAUGAUUUACAUAUAAAGUUGUUUUUCUUUUUUUCCCAGUAUGAUCUCCUACUCUCCAAAUAAACUUUUUCCUUUAUUAAUAGCUACCCUUUAGGUUUAUUUUUUAAUAUUUUAUCAAAAAUUAUCCACUUAGAUAUGAUUUAAUGAAAAAUACAUAGUAUAGCAUUUUGUGUUUUUAACUUAAAUGUCCCCUGAAUCCAUAAUUUUCUUCAACAUCAUUUUUUAAACUAUCAUUGUGAAUAUAUACACAUUUAACUCAUUUCUUUUAUCUGUUAUAUAGAAUUCUAUUAUAUGAAUAUACUGCUAUUCAUUCAUUCUGUUAUUGCUCUUUUUAGGUGGUUUUUACUCUAGAAAGCCCUUCUAUAACUUGAUUGAAGAAAAGUAAUUCACUUUUUUUGAGACCUAAGUGAGCUUUAAUUGGAAAAUAUACUUUACUUUUGUCAUUUGCUAUGCAAUCAUUUUCCAGAAAUGUUAAAAAUGUGUCAUAACCAAGAACUUAUAAAAUGUUAAGCUUUCACUAAAGCAAGACAUAUGCUCCCCUAAAAAAAGAUCCAUCUAAAUAAUGCCCUCAGACCUUUGUAGCACCUUACAGUUAUUAGCUCACUUAUAGCAAGGAAAGUGUUUUUCAAAAAAUAGAAAAUUUCAUCCCUGAAACAGACGUGAUCAACUGAUUGCUUACAGAGUAUUUUAUAGAUUUAACAACACUUUACAUACAGUCCAAAAGUAUGACAGAAAUUGAAAUCUUUAAAAAAAUAAUUUUAAAAGAUUCCAUUAAAAGAGACAACUAUUAAACAAAAUCUUACUUCUAUCAACUGCAGGAUCUACUUAACUGACCACAGCACUAUUCCCACAGAGCUUAAAAAAGGCUUUGUAGAUCUUUAGCAUAGCAAAUUUAUCUUAAAAUCAAUCAUUCAAACUAGGACAUUUUGAGAGUGAAAGAGAGCACAUUAAUAACUGCACCAAGAAAAUGCAAAUAUUUUGUUCUUGGGUUUCAGC
Molecule: long non-coding RNA, 3254 nt
Filed under: Sus scrofa (pig)
Lineage: Eukaryota; Metazoa; Chordata; Mammalia; Artiodactyla; Suidae
Description: lncRNA (ENSSSCG00000060734.1)
Source: RNAcentral